UCUUCAUCUCCCCCGAACUUCCAAUGAGCUGACUCUGUGACAUUGUCGAAGUCGCAAGUGAAAGAAUGAACCCACAAGUAUUGAAAAGUAAUAGAGAAAAGAGAAUGAUAUGGAGAGAGUUGAAGUGGAAGCUCUCUUUAUAACAUUUCCAAGAGCACGUAUUUCCCCCGGAAAAUAUACUCCCUUUAAUACCAAAUAUUCCGUCAAUCACAAUAAGAGGAUCCCAAAUAAUCCCAAAUAAUAUCAAAUAGGAAAGUUUCACGAACUGUAUCAG
RNAcentral lists this long non-coding RNA (274 nucleotides) under Brassica napus (rape). Its description in RNAcentral is "long non-coding RNA (BNAP_LNC001366)". The record is from RNAcentral. Lineage: Eukaryota; Viridiplantae; Streptophyta; Magnoliopsida; Brassicales; Brassicaceae.